This is a non-coding RNA of Camelina sativa (false flax), 1209 nucleotides long. The record is from RefSeq and is a predicted model, not a curated record. Lineage: Eukaryota; Viridiplantae; Streptophyta; Magnoliopsida; Brassicales; Brassicaceae.
GAGAAAGAGGAGCUUAUGUUGCAAGAUAUUUUUGCUCAAGAGACUGUUUUUUUUAUUGAAGAUCCCAACAUGGUAAAGUACAUUGAACAAGAAUUGGCUAAGAAGAGGGGGAAAAAUAUUGAUGAUGCGGAGGAGGUUGAGAAUGAGUUGAAGGGAGUGGAAGAUGAGUUAUAUAGGAUACCUGAUCAUUUUAAAGUUAAGAAGCGUAGUUUCAAAGAGAGCUCGACACAGUGGACUACCGGAAUAGCAGAAGUCCAACUCCCAAUCGAAUCUGCCAAGAAGCUUUUGCAAGAGAAGAGGCUUAUAGAUGGGUCGGCCAAAAUCAGAGUUUAGUAUUUUAUUUUCCUGUUUGUGUAGUGGUUUCUUGGAGAGAUAUAUUAUUAUGAAUUUUUCUCUUUUUGAAGAUAAAGCUGGGAUCCUUAUAGUACAGGGCUAGCAUUUAGGAUAUUGGUCACUAAUUACCUUGGUUUAGAUGGCUUAAACCAUCCUCUCUGCAAGGAAAUUCGAGAAGCUGAUCGAUUCUACUGAAGUUACUCCUGCUGAGUUAGUUGAAGAGCUGAUGCAAGACGAUGACACUGACAUUGUUCUUUGUGGAGUAGUUAGUUUUGUUGAGAAGAGGAAGGUCGAGCGAAGCAAAACCAAGGAGCUGGAGGAUAUGUGUAAAGUAAUUGAUGAUGACUACGUAGUUGAUGAUGACGAAAUACACAAUGGUUCUAGGAAUGGUUCGAAUAAGAAGAAAGGGAAAGGAAAAGGCAGAGGGAAAGGGAAAGGAAAAGGAAAUUAAGACUGAGACUUAAUCCUUCCUCUUUAUGUGUCAUUGUGGUUUUUGCUUAAUUUUGCUUUUACAACUCUGUCCUGAAGUGGUAGCUACGUUUUGUAUCUAUGUCUGUCCAAUUUGUAUAUGAUUUUCUGACAGGGACCUUAAGGAAAUUGGUUUGCUCUAUUGGACUGUACGAGGAUCAACUUCACAUUACAAAAGUUACUUCUUAAUUAUACGGAGAAGCUUUCAGAUUCUUCUUUGGGGAAUAAUAUAGAUGAAGCGAGAGAGAACUGAUGUAGAUUCCAUCAGUGAUCUUGACAUCAGAUGCAGACUGAUCAGCGGAAGAGUUACUUAUCCUGAAAGCCGCAUGUUACUGUCUCAGGCACUAGCCAUUUUUCAAUGUUGUCUCGUGCUCUUCCUGUUUCUUGGUUUUCAAAGUUGAGCGGUUC